CCUACGGGUGGCAGCAGUCGAGAAUCAUUCACAAUGGGGGAAACUCUGAUGGUGCGACGCCGCGUGGGGGAAUGAAGGUCUUCGGAUUGUACACCCCUUUCAUGGGGGAGCAAAUUAAAAAGAUAGUACCACAAGAGGAAGAGUCGGCUAACUCUGUGCCAGCAGCCGCGGUAAUACAGAGGUCUCAAGCGUUGUUCGGAAUCACUGGGCGGAAAGCGUGCGUAGGCUGUUUCGUAAGGCGUGUGUGAAAGGCUCGAGCUCAACCCGCGGACGGCACAUGAUACUGCGAGACUAGAGUAAUGGAGGGGGAACCGGAAUUCUCGGUGUAGCAGUGAAAUGCGUAGAUAUCGAGAGGAACACUCGUGGCGAAGGCGGGUUCCUGGACAUUAACUGACGCUGAGGCACGAAGGCCAGGGGAGCGAAAGGGAUUAGAUACCCCAGUAGUC
RNAcentral lists this ribosomal RNA (446 nucleotides) under uncultured bacterium. RNAcentral's name for it is "partial 16S ribosomal RNA". It matches the Rfam family "Bacterial small subunit ribosomal RNA", at positions 338 to 795 of the family's 1533-position model. The record is from RNAcentral.